RNAcentral lists this non-coding RNA (226 nucleotides) under Paenibacillus yonginensis. RNAcentral describes it as "T-box sequence". It matches the Rfam family "T-box leader". From Rfam's summary of the family: Uncharged tRNA acts as the effector for transcription antitermination of genes in the T-box leader family. T-boxes are found upstream of many aminoacyl-tRNA synthetase genes and some amino acid biosynthetic genes usually in Gram-positive bacteria. The anticodon of a specific tRNA base pairs to a specifier sequence within the T-box motif, and the NCCA acceptor tail of the tRNA base pairs to a conserved bulge in the T-box antiterminator hairpin. Lineage: Bacteria; Bacillati; Bacillota; Bacilli; Caryophanales; Paenibacillaceae. The record is from RNAcentral.
GAUAACACGUUGAUGGAGAAAGGUCGAUUUUGAGCUUUCAGAGAGCCGGUGGUCGCUGCGAACCGGCAGCUUGGAAAUUGCAAACCUAGCCCUCCAGAGUGCUGUGCUGAAGCUUCAGUAGGCCAGCCGGUUGAAAUCCGUUAUCAUUUCUGUCGCAAGACAUGGAGGCCGUCUCUGUAAGGAUUCGGCGAAUAAGGGUGGCACCACGAACAGUCUCGUCCCUUAC